GAAAGCUAUUUAGGUAGCGCCUCGUGAAUUCAUCUCCGGGGGUAGAGCACUGUUUCGGCAAGGGGGUCAUCCCGACUUACCAACCCGAUGCAAACUGCGAAUACCGGAGAAUGUUAUCACGGGAGACACACGGCGGGUGCUAACGUCCGUCGUGAAGAGGGAAACAACCCAGACCGCCAGCUAAGGUCCCAAAGUCAUGGUUAAGUGGGAAACGAUGUGGGAAGGCCCAGACAGCCAGGAUGUUGGCUUAGAAGCAGCCAUCAUUUAAAGAAAGCGUAAUAGCUCACUGGUCGAGUCGGCCUGCGCGGAAGAUGUAACGGGGCUAAACCAUGCACCGAAGCUGCGGCAGCGACACUAUGUGUUGUUGGGUAGGGGAGCGUUCUGUAAGCCUGUGAAGGUGGCCUGUGAGGGUUGCUGGAGGUAUCAGAAGUGCGAAUGCUGACAUAAGUAACGAUAAAGCGGGUGAAAAGCCCGCUCGCCGGAAGACCAAGGGUUCCUGUCCAACGUUAAUCGGGGCAGGGUGAGUCGACCCCUAAGGCGAGGCCGAAAGGCGUAGUCGAUGGGAAACAGGUUAAUAUUCCUGUACUUGGUGUUACUGCGAAGGGGGGACGGAGAAGGCUAUGUUGGCCGGGCGACGGUUGUCCCGGUUUAAGCGUGUAGGCUGGUUUUCCAGGCAAAUCCGGAAAACCAAGGCUGAGGCGUGAUGACGAGGCACUACGGUGCUGAAGCGACAAAUGCCCUGCUUCCAGGAAAAGCCUCUAAGCAUCAGGUAACAUCAAAUCGUACCCCAAACCGACACAGGUGGUCAGGUAGAGAAUACCAAGGCGCUUGAGAGAACUCGGGUGAAGGAACUAGGCAAAAUGGUGCCGUAACUUCGGGAGAAGGCACGCUGAUAUGUAGGUGAAGCGACUUGCUCGUGGAGCUGAAAUCAGUCGAAGAUACCAGCUGGCUGCAACUGUUUAUUAAAAACACAGCACUGUGCAAACACGAAAGUGGACGUAUACGGUGUGACGCCUGCCCGGUGCCGGAAGGUUAAUUGAUGGGGUUAGCGGUAACGCGAAGCUCUUGAUCGAAGCCCCGGUAAACGGCGGCCGUAACUAUAACGGUCCUAAGGUAGCGAAAUUCCUUGUCGGGUAAGUUCCGACCUGCACGAAUGGCGUAAUGAUGGCCAGGCUGUCUCCACCCGAGACUCAGUGAAAUUGAACUCGCUGUGAAGAUGCAGUGUACCCGCGGCAAGACGGAAAGACCCCGUGAACCUUUACUAUAGCUUGACACUGAACAUUGAGCCUUGAUGUGUAGGAUAGGUGGGAGGCUUUGAAGUGUGGACGCCAGUCUGCAUGGAGCCGACCUUGAAAUACCACCCUUUAAUGUUUGAUGUUCUAACGUUGGCCCGUAAUCCGGGUUGCGGACAGUGUCUGGUGGGUAGUUUGACUGGGGCGGUCUCCUCCUAAAGAGUAACGGAGGAGCACGAAGGUUGGCUAAUCCUGGUCGGACAUCAGGAGGUUAGUGCAAUGGCAUAAGCCAGCUUGACUGCGAGCGUGACGGCGCGAGCAGGUGCGAAAGCAGGUCAUAGUGAUCCGGUGGUUCUGAAUGGAAGGGCCAUCGCUCAACGGAUAAAAGGUACUCCGGGGAUAACAGGCUGAUACCGCCCAAGAGUUCAUAUCGACGGCGGUGUUUGGCACCUCGAUGUCGGCUCAUCACAUCCUGGGGCUGAAGUAGGUCCCAAGGGUAUGGCUGUUCGCCAUUUAAAGUGGUACGCGAGCUGGGUUUAGAACGUCGUGAGACAGUUCGGUCCCUAUCUGCCGUGGGCGCUGGAGAACUGAGGGGGGCUGCUCCUAGUACGAGAGGACCGGAGUGGACGCAUCACUGGUGUUCGGGUUGUCAUGCCAAUGGCACUGCCCGGUAGCUAAAUGCGGAAGAGAUAAGUGCUGAAAGCAUCUAAGCACGAAACUUGC
RNAcentral lists this ribosomal RNA (1955 nucleotides) under Escherichia coli. RNAcentral describes it as "partial 23S ribosomal RNA". It matches the Rfam family "Bacterial large subunit ribosomal RNA", at positions 861 to 2797 of the family's 2925-position model. The record is from RNAcentral. Lineage: Bacteria; Pseudomonadati; Pseudomonadota; Gammaproteobacteria; Enterobacterales; Enterobacteriaceae.